GACGGGACCCGCACAAGCGGUGGAUGAUGUGGUUAAUUCGAUGCAACGCGAAAACCUUACCCACCUUUGACAUGUACGGAAUCCUUUAGAGAUAGAGGAGUGCUCGAAAGAGAGCCGUAACACAGGUGCUGCAUGGCUGUCGUCAGCUCGUGUCGUGAGAUGUUGGGUUAAGUCCCGCAACGAGCGCAACCCUUGUCAUUAGUUGCUACAUUCAGUUGGGCACUCUAAUGAGACUGCCGGUGACAAACCGGAGGAAGGUGGGGAUGACGUCAAGUCCUCGUGGCCCUUAUAGGUGGGGCUACACACGUCAUACAAUGGAUGGUACAAAGGGUCGCCAACCCGCGAGGGGGAGCCAAUCCCAUAAAGCCAUUCGUAGUCCGGAUCGCAGUCUGCAACUCGACUGCGUGAAGUCGGAAUCGCUAGUAAUCGUGGAUCAGAAUGUCACGGUGAAUACGUUCCCGGGUCUU
This 467-nucleotide ribosomal RNA is filed under the name uncultured Acidovorax sp. RNAcentral describes it as "bacterial SSU rRNA". It matches the Rfam family "Bacterial small subunit ribosomal RNA", at positions 916 to 1381 of the family's 1533-position model. Lineage: Bacteria; Pseudomonadati; Pseudomonadota; Betaproteobacteria; Burkholderiales; Comamonadaceae. The record is from RNAcentral.